Molecule: ribosomal RNA, 253 nt
Filed under: uncultured bacterium
Lineage: Bacteria
Description: partial 16S ribosomal RNA
Rfam family: Bacterial small subunit ribosomal RNA
Source: RNAcentral
UACAGAGGGUGCGAGCGUUAAUCGGAAUUAUUGGGCGUAAAGGGAGCGUAGGCGGAUGAUCAAGUGACAUGUGAAAUACCCGGGCUUAACCUGGGGAGGUCAUGUCAGACUGGUCGUCUAGAGUAUGGUAGAGGAAGGUGGAAUUUCUGGUGUAGCGGUGAAAUGCGUAGAUAUCAGAAAGAACAUCGAUGGCGAAGGCAGCCUUCUGGGCCAUUACUGACGCUGAGGCUCGAAAGCGUGGGGAGCGAACAGG